GAACUCGCUUUCGGCCGCGGUCAGGACGCCGCUGCAGAGCUCCGCCCGCUCUCCUUCAAGCUCGCCCGGUCACCAGCGGCACCACCUUCUUGGAGUCCUGCAAGCCUUCUUCAGGUCACCCCAGCACUGAGGCCGUCACUUUCUCAGGUUCCUGCGUCUAGCAGCACUCGAGGUUACUCACCGGCGCCAUUGGAGGGCAACGACGCAGUGGCCAAGCUUCUUCGAGCCUUAGGCACCGGUUUUCCAAAGAACCAGCCGACAGACAAGCCGGUCGAUGGAAGACUCCGACUCCGACAAAGAGUUCUUGCGAAGCGCGGCGUUUUCGGAGCUUGAAAUAUCAGCCGUCGAAUACAGCCAGGUGUCGU
This is a long non-coding RNA of Dermacentor albipictus, 365 nucleotides long. RefSeq lists it as uncharacterized. The record is from RefSeq and is a predicted model, not a curated record. NCBI's taxonomy places the organism in Eukaryota, Metazoa, Arthropoda, Arachnida, Ixodida, Ixodidae.